This 724-nucleotide ribosomal RNA is filed under the name uncultured bacterium. RNAcentral describes it as "bacterial SSU rRNA". It matches the Rfam family "Bacterial small subunit ribosomal RNA", at positions 9 to 716 of the family's 1533-position model. The record is from RNAcentral.
GAGUUUGAUCCUGGCUCAGAUUGAACGCUGGCGGCAGGCCUAACACAUGCAAGUCGAGCGGCAGCGGGAAGAUAGCUUGCUAUCUUCGCCGACGAGCGGCGGACGGGUGAGUAAUACCUGGGGAUCUGCCCAAUCGAGGGGGAUAACAGUUGGAAACGACUGCUAAUACCGCAUACGCCCUACGGGGGAAAGGAGGGGACCUUCGGGCCUUCCGCGAUUGGAUGAACCCAGGCGGGAUUAGCUAGUAGGUGAGGUAAUGGCUCACCUAGGCGACGAUCCCUAGCUGUUCUGAGAGGAUGGACAGCCACACUGGAACUGAGACACGGUCCAGACUCCUACGGGAGGCAGCAGUGGGGAAUAUUGGACAAUGGGGGAAACCCUGAUCCAGCCAUGCCGCGUGUGUGAAGAAGGCCUUCGGGUUGUAAAGCACUUUCAGUGGGGAGGAAAGGUUGAUGGUUAAUACCUAUCAGCUGUGACGUUACCCACAGAAGAAGCACCGGCUAACUCCGUGCCAGCAGCCGCGGUAAUACGGAGGGUGCAAGCGUUAAUCGGAAUUACUGGGCGUAAAGCGUGCGCAGGCGGUCUGUUAAGCNAGAUGUGAAAGCCCCGGGCUCAACCCUGGGAAACUGCAUUUCGAACUGGCAGACUAGAGUCUUGUAGAGGGGGGUAGAAUUCCAGGUGUANCGGUGAAAAUGCGUANAGAUCUGGAAGGAAUACCGGUGGC